GGAAGUAUAGCGCAGUGAUAGAGUUUGUGCUUACCAAGCACAAGGCCCUGGGUUCAAUCCCCAGCGCUACAA
This 72-nucleotide transfer RNA is filed under the name Ictidomys tridecemlineatus (thirteen-lined ground squirrel). RNAcentral describes it as "Spermophilus tridecemlineatus (thirteen-lined ground squirrel) tRNA". It matches the Rfam family "tRNA". Rfam says of the family: Transfer RNA (tRNA) molecules are approximately 80 nucleotides in length. Their secondary structure includes four short double-helical elements and three loops (D, anti-codon, and T loops). Lineage: Eukaryota; Metazoa; Chordata; Mammalia; Rodentia; Sciuridae. The record is from Rfam by way of RNAcentral.